This 767-nucleotide ribosomal RNA is filed under the name uncultured Bacteroidota bacterium. RNAcentral's name for it is "bacterial SSU rRNA". It matches the Rfam family "Bacterial small subunit ribosomal RNA", at positions 384 to 1151 of the family's 1533-position model. Lineage: Bacteria; Pseudomonadati; Bacteroidota. The record is from RNAcentral.
UGACCCAGCCAUGCCGCGUGCAGGAAGACGGCCCUAUGGGUUGUAAACUGCUUUUCUGAGGGACUAAUUUCUCAUACGGGUUAUGAGAUUGCAUGUACUUCAGGAAUAAGCAUCGGCUAACUCCGUGCCAGCAGCCGCGGUAAUACGGAGGAUGCGAGCGUUAUCCGGACUUAUUGGGUUUAAAGGGUGCGUAGGCUGACAAGUAAGUCAGUGGUGAAAUGUCAUGGCUCAACCAUGGACUUGCCAUUGAUACUGUUUGUCUGGAGUGUAUUGGAAGUUGGUGGAACGAGGGGUGUAGCGGUGAAAUGCAUAGAUAUUCCUCAGAACGCCGAUAGCGCAGGCAACUGACUACGAUACAACUGACGCUGAGGCACGAAAGCGUGGGGAUCAAACAGGAUUAGAUACCCUGGUAGUCCACGCUGUAAACGAUGAUCACUAGCUGUUUGCGAUAUACAGUAAGUGGCUAAGCGAAAGCGAUAAGUGAUCCACCUGGGGAGUACGUCGGCAACGAUGAAACUCAAAGGAAUUGACGGGGGCCCGCACAAGCGGAGGAGCAUGUGGUUUAAUUCGAUGAUACGCGAGGAACCUUACCUGGGCUAGAACGUAUGGUGCAUGGCGGAGAAAUUCGCCUUUCCCUAGGGACUCUAUACGAGGUGCUGCAUGGCUGUCGUCAGCUCGUGCCGUGAGGUGUUAGGUUAAGUCCUGCAACGAGCGCAACCCCUGUUUCCAGUUGCCAGCACAUAAAGGUGGGGACUCUGGAGAGACUG